Homo sapiens (human) is the source of this 61-nucleotide microRNA precursor. Lineage: Eukaryota; Metazoa; Chordata; Mammalia; Primates; Hominidae. The record is from Ensembl.
AAACGGUGUGGAAGAUGGGAGGAGAAAAAUCCCUGUUAACUUUCUCUCUCCACUUCCUCAG